UACGGGGGGAGCAAGCGUUGUUCGGAUUUACUGGGCGUAAAGGGCGCGUAGGCGGCCAUCGCAAGUCAAUUGUGAAAUCUCCGGGCUUAACUCGGAAAGGUCAACUGAUACUGCGAGGCUAGAGUGCGGAAGGGGCAACUGGAAUUCUCGGUGUAGCGGUGAAAUGCGUAGAUAUCGAGAGGAACACCUGCGGCGAAGGCGGGUUGCUGGGCCGACACUGACGCUGAGGCGCGAAAGCUAGGGGAGCGAACGGG
Molecule: ribosomal RNA, 254 nt
Filed under: uncultured bacterium
Lineage: Bacteria
Description: partial 16S ribosomal RNA
Rfam family: Bacterial small subunit ribosomal RNA
Source: RNAcentral